Molecule: long non-coding RNA, 710 nt
Filed under: Mus spicilegus (steppe mouse)
Lineage: Eukaryota; Metazoa; Chordata; Mammalia; Rodentia; Muridae
Description: lncRNA (ENSMSIG00000000052.1)
Source: RNAcentral
UAUUUAGUAUGAGAUCAUCACAACAACCAGCUUUCAACAAAAUCAAAAAUUCAGUUUCAAGUAAGUGAAGUAAUAUAACAAAGAAUACAAAGAUACCUGAUGGUAAGCCACAAAAAGUAGGCACUAAUGUGAAGACUAUUUUUUAAUCAUUUCUUCCUUUAGCAAAGCCAAAUGGAUAUCUCUUUCUACCACCCAACUCUUCACUCCCUGACAGAAUAGAGUCAAUGGAUAUUGACCUGACUCCUCCAGCAAGAAAGCCUGAGAUGUCAGCAGGCCCUUCAAGAAUCUCUCUGAUUAGUCCACCUCAGGAUGGACGCAUGGGUAAGUAAAAGUCCCUGUGCCUACUUUACAUUUAUGCACAAACUCGAAUAUAUUCCCUGAAAGUCAUAUUUCACCAAAGCUGUCGUUGCUUACCUACUUAAGGGCUGCCCUCCACUAAUUGUUGUGGUAAAUCUCCAACCCAAAUAAGCCUGUGCAAAGAAAACACAAUGCAAUUAGUAUGAAUACAGAAUACCAAUACAAGCUGUGCGCCUAGAUUGGGCAGAUCUACCUCUACACUACUCUAUUCCCCAGCUAGGAGAUCCCUUAUAACCUGCAGUUUCUCCAGGCCACAUGCUUCUGCUCCAUUUUCCUUCCACCUCCUCUUCUCUCCACCUUCUCCCUAAAACUUUUCAGCUACACCUUCCCUUCCAUUGCCCAAUCACCGGCUC